This 1462-nucleotide ribosomal RNA is filed under the name uncultured bacterium. RNAcentral's name for it is "bacterial SSU rRNA". It matches the Rfam family "Bacterial small subunit ribosomal RNA". The record is from RNAcentral.
AUUGAACGCUGGCGGCAGGCCUAACACAUGCAAGUCGAGCGGUAGCACAGAGAGCUUGCUCUCGGGUGACGAGCGGCGGACGGGUGAGUAAUGUCUGGGAAACUGCCUGAUGGAGGGGGAUAACUACUGGAAACGGUAGCUAAUACCGCAUAAUGUCGCAAGACCAAAGUGGGGGACCUUCGGGCCUCAUGCCAUCAGAUGUGCCCAGAUGGGAUUAGCUAGUAGGUGGGGUAACGGCUCACCUAGGCGACGAUCCCUAGCUGGUCUGAGAGGAUGACCAGCCACACUGGAACUGAGACACGGUCCAGACUCCUACGGGAGGCAGCAGUGGGGAAUAUUGCACAAUGGGCGCAAGCCUGAUGCAGCCAUGCCGCGUGUAUGAAGAAGGCCUUCGGGUUGUAAAGUACUUUCAGCGGGGAGGAAGGCGGUGAGGUUAAUAACCUCACCGAUUGACGUUACCCGCAGAAGAAGCACCGGCUAACUCCGUGCCAGCAGCCGCGGUAAUACGGAGGGUGCAAGCGUUAAUCGGAAUUACUGGGCGUAAAGCGCACGCAGGCGGUCUGUCAAGUCGGAUGUGAAAUCCCCGGGCUCAACCUGGGAACUGCAUUCGAAACUGGCAGGCUAGAGUCUUGUAGAGGGGGGUAGAAUUCCAGGUGUAGCGGUGAAAUGCGUAGAGAUCUGGAGGAAUACCGGUGGCGAAGGCGGCCCCCUGGACAAAGACUGACGCUCAGGUGCGAAAGCGUGGGGAGCAAACAGGAUUAGAUACCCUGGUAGUCCACGCCGUAAACGAUGUCGACUUGGAGGUUGUGCCCUUGAGGCGUGGCUUCCGGAGCUAACGCGUUAAGUCGACCGCCUGGGGAGUACGGCCGCAAGGUUAAAACUCAAAUGAAUUGACGGGGGCCCGCACAAGCGGUGGAGCAUGUGGUUUAAUUCGAUGCAACGCGAAGAACCUUACCUACUCUUGACAUCCAGAGAACUUAGCAGAGAUGCUUUGGUGCCUUCGGGAACUCUGAGACAGGUGCUGCAUGGCUGUCGUCAGCUCGUGUUGUGAAAUGUUGGGUUAAGUCCCGCAACGAGCGCAACCCUUAUCCUUUGUUGCCAGCGGUCCGGCCGGGAACUCAAAGGAGACUGCCAGUGAUAAACUGGAGGAAGGUGGGGAUGACGUCAAGUCAUCAUGGCCCUUACGAGUAGGGCUACACACGUGCUACAAUGGCGCAUACAAAGAGAAGCGACCUCGCGAGAGCAAGCGGACCUCAUAAAGUGCGUCGUAGUCCGGAUUGGAGUCUGCAACUCGACUCCAUGAAGUCGGAAUCGCUAGUAAUCGUAGAUCAGAAUGCUACGGUGAAUACGUUCCCGGGCCUUGUACACACCGCCCGUCACACCAUGGGAGUGGGUUGCAAAAGAAGCAGGUAGCUUAACCUUCGGGAGGGCGCUUACCACUUUGUGAUUCAUGACUGGGGUG